GAGUUUGAUUCUGGCUCAGAUUGAACGCUGGCGGCAUGCUUUACACAUGCAAGUCGGACGGCAGCACAAAGAAGCUUGCUUCUUGGGUGGCGAGUGGCGAACGGGUGAGUAACGCAUCGGAACGUACCGAGUAGUGGGGGAUAACUGUCCGAAAGGAUGGCUAAUACCGCAUACGCUUUGAGAAGGAAAGCGGGGGAUCUUCGGACCUCGCGCUAUUCGAGCGGCCGAUGUCUGAUUAGCUAGUUGGUGGGGUAAAGGCCUACCAAGGCGACGAUCAGUAGCGGGUCUGAGAGGAUGAUCCGCCACACUGGGACUGAGACACGGCCCAGACUCCUACGGGAGGCAGCAGUGGGGAAUUUUGGACAAUGGGCGCAAGCCUGAUCCAGCCAUGCCGCGUGUCUGAAGAAGGCCUUCGGGUUGUAAAGGACUUUUGUCAGGGAAGAAAAGCCUUGAGGCUAAUACCCCUUAAGUGAUGA
This 476-nucleotide ribosomal RNA is filed under the name Neisseria shayeganii. RNAcentral describes it as "bacterial SSU rRNA". It matches the Rfam family "Bacterial small subunit ribosomal RNA", at positions 9 to 472 of the family's 1533-position model. Lineage: Bacteria; Pseudomonadati; Pseudomonadota; Betaproteobacteria; Neisseriales; Neisseriaceae. The record is from RNAcentral.